AACGCGCCCUCUUCCAUACAAAUCGAGAAACCUGGCCGCGGAAGGUUUCUCUUCUAAAUAUAUUUUCGGAAAAUUCGCAUUUUAUAUAAGAGUACCGCUGUAACAAGCGGGUAUUUGUACGUCGAUAGUUUUAUGUGUUCAACGGAUAUCAUUUACUGCGAUUAAGGCUCUCUAUGGCCGGUUAAACUGACUACUAAAAAUAGAACAGUGCCCGAUACAUUAGUAGGAAAAUCUAGUGCGAGGUUUCCAUUCAUAAAAUCUAUCAUUUGGUGGUCGGUCGUGACGACACGGUAUCGGCGCAUAAUUAAAAUUUAUCGGUGAAUUCACAUCGUUGGCUGGAACAGAGUGAACAAUCAAUAACAGCGUCGCCGUUGAAGGAGUUUUCGUCUAAAAAGUAUCGGAAACAGGCAAAAUGGCGACCGAGGGCGGACUGGCGCCUGCCGGCGACGGCGACAUGCCCGUGGGCGGGCCCAAGACGCCCCAGCAGAUCGCCGCGCAACGUCGCCUCCAGCAGACACAGGCACAAGUUGACGAGGUGGUGGACAUCAUGAAAACAAAUGUCGAAAAGGUGCUGGAGCGCGAUUCCAAGCUCUCGGAGCUUGAUGAUAGAGCAGACGCACUCCAGCAUGGCGCAUCACAGUUUGAGCAACAGGCCGGGAAGCUGAAAAGCAAAUUCUGGUUGCAGAAUUUAAAGAUGAUGAUAAUCGCGGCUGUGAUCGGAAUCGUCAUCCUGGCUCUGAUCAUUGCCAACUGUGUGUGAACAACUUUGGAGCAGUUUCAUUUAGAAGUAACUUAUUAUAAUGUUUAUAGUAUAACGUUAUUUUAUUGCGUUAAAACUAAGCCUAGUUUGGUCUGUAAACUUCGGGUACGGAGGAAAGAUGGCUGAGAAGCUCUCUACUGAAUUCCAUCACGUACAGCCUAAUUUCAAAUUUUUUUUACCUGUCCUCGAGUUCAAUCAGCACCGUCUUCGAUGUACCUACCCAAUAUCAAUAUUUCCUACAUAAAACUAUUUAUUCUACCAGGCCCACCGUACACUCAGGUGCGGUGUUAACUUAGGUCCAGUCUCUAUUCGUAUUCACGUUCCCUUAGUGUGCAGCGGGCCUAAAGUAAAGAGUUUAGAAAACUGUAUUUUCUUCACAUCAUUAUCAACUGUCAUGACUUUAAGAAAAGUAUUUUUAGAUGAAUUUUCGUUAUUAAAAUGUUUAUCUUAGAAUAACAACUGUAAUUUGCUAAACGCUAUACACAACCUAAAGCUUAUUGAAAACGACCAUAUCUCCAUUUUCCAACAUAAAAUAUCAAUGAGAUCGACAUAAGGGAAUUUUUAAAAAUUUUAGACCUUAAUUUUCUUUUGAUUCGGACCAAGUUUCUUAAGUAAUCAUUUUUUACCGAUGUUUAUGAAUUUGUAUUUUCAAUUUCGAAUAAUUUAACUGUUGCUCUUUGAUAAAACGCCUAUAUGGAUAUGUUUCUAUCUUGUAAGUAUGGAAUUUCGUAAACUUUUAAAAUGUUGAAUAUAUGGAUAUUGAUCUCACGUAGAAUAUCCGCAGCUGACAUUGUCGUUCUGGUCCACGUUCUUUUAAAACUAAGUAUCUAGUCAGAAAAAUAGUACUUAAACAAAUAACAUUUUAGAAUCAUUUUACUGCUUCUAUGUACGCAAAUAUAUUAAACUUUUGAUUUGGGUAACUUAAUGGGUGUGAAUAACGAUCGACUAAGAAUGGUUUGCUUAUUCGCCUAGUACUAGUCAGUCUACAUGUUGUAGCUGUUUAAACUAAGUACGUAACUUAAUAUACUUAUUGGCGGUGAUUUCUAAUUGAAACGAAAAUUUAUAAUAUUCAUGUUGUUGUUUGUAAUAAAUAGAAUUAGAUUAAAAAAAUAAUGUUCAUUCCUACGAUCUCUUGUAAUCGUGACUGGCCAAUAUUUUUUAAAUAAUUAUACAUAACCACAUGUUGUAACAGAUAUGUAUCUUAUAUCUUUUUCUGUGUGUACCUAUUGUAUGUAAAAACAGCUUUGUAGUUAGAAAGUGUAAAAAGUUUUACUAUAAUUAGGUGUUUUUAUUGUAACCACACAUAGGCUAAAACGAGUAAAAGUUAAUAAGGACAAAUGUUUAUCCAUAGGGGAAAUUGGCCAGUGUUGGAUUGAAACCAGUCAUUAGUAAAUUAAGUCGAGUUCCAGAAAUAAAUUUAUAAUAAGCCAUGUAUGGGUAACAAUGAAUUAGUUUUUAGAUUUAGACACUAUUGUGGCCGGGUAUAGAGGCCUCAGUAUUGUGUCAAUCCUAGGAUCGAUGUCGUUCUACUAGGGAUAAUGGGUUGACCCAAUAUCGCGCCAGUGUUUCUCUUACAUGUAUUAAAAUACGCAGGGUUUGUGCUGGUCUCAUUCUUCUGAGCCAUAAGAAUUGAGACGGGCAUAAACGGGCCAUAGAAAAAACUGUACAAGAAUAGAUAUGCAUAUGCACGUCGUGUUGAGUCGUUUUUAGGUAUAGUAUUGAUAGCCUACUGAAAUUGUUACAACUACUUACUGACCUCCAUUUUCGAAAUAUUUUUGUACAAAUACAUCCAGUACCAGUUAUAUCAGUCAAAUUAUAUACCUCUAAGCAUUGAUUAACGAGUUAUAAAAAUACAAAAAUCUUAACUUAAUUUAUAUUUGAUAGAUGGGUGAUCUUAAUAAUAAUUCGAAAAUGGAAGUUAUAAAAAUCACUGUAAGGUAAGGUAAAAAAUACACCAGAUAUAUGUUAUAAAUAGAUUUAUACUUUAAAAUAAGAAUAUUCCAUUAGUGAAAAGGUUCGAACCGAAAACUGUUGACAUGUAUUUGCACUAAGAUGCUGCAAUAAGUCAGAAAAUAAAGAUUAUCUUCACUGGUGUUGGGUAUUCCUACAUUAUUUAUGGUCAUAUGAGAACGUUCUCGAGAACGAUACAACUUAUUUUAUGGAAAUAUUUAGGGUCAUAUUUAUUAUUAAAAUGAGCAAGUUUCAGGGUAGCUAAUAACGGUUCAUCAUUAACUAACCUAUUUAUUUUUGCUUCGAAUAUGACCACAGCUAAUUUAAUUGUGAGAAGACUCAAAACGCAUAGUGUAAAAUUAUAUAAAACCACUAAUCAUGAGAAUAGGUACAAAACUUCGAUUUUUCUCCAUUUUAUUCUUUUGUUAUUCCCCAUAUUAUAUUUCGGAUGAACGUUCAGAGACAGAGAGGUAGAUUUAUGUAUUGUCCAACACGGCUACCACUACCACGAGUUGGCAUUUGAUAUUUACGCUCGCACUGGUGGUAGCCAUGAAAGUAUGUGUGUGAAAUUAUACUGAAAUAUCAUGUAACGUAAUUUAAAUUUAACUAAUUAUUUUGAACAUUUCGAUUCGUGAAGGUUAAGAGGUUUGAGCAAACAACAGGUUUCAUUCAUGAUAAGUGGAUUUAUAUUCAAUUUCAAUAUGUGAUGAGACUAGUUUAGACACUAAGUUAUUUAAAAUAUUGAUUAAAGGGUAAAAAAUGCUACCUUUUAGACAUGUAGGUACCUACUUUAUUAUGUAUCUUACAUUUUUAAAUAUUAAAUACUUUUGAUGAUUAAUCUGUUUUAAUGGAAAUGUCGUAAGAAUAUAUUACCCAAAAAUUAUGUUUAUAAAAUUAUGUUUAAUGUUUAGUGACAUCAGUUUUAAAAUAUUUAUAUCUUAAUAUCGGUUUUUAUAUUGCCUAUAUCUAAAGUCCGUCUAAGCUAACUCUGCAGCGACAUUAAAGCGACUAAAUGUGGAUUCGCUACUACAAUCGUCAUAUGAAUUUAACAUUUAUGGUGGCACUCCUAAACUGUCGUUAUGUGCUAUAUUGGCACAGAAUUCGCUUUGACUGACAAUAGGUACCUAAUUUGCAAUUUAUCUUGAAUCGUUAUAUCUAGAUACUUAUGUUAACAUUGUUAACAAAUAUUGAAUAUCUUAACGAAAUUUUAUUAAGGAAAAAUAACAUCAUUUAUCUUUCUUUUAUGAGAAUGAGUAAUUAAAACUUAUUUCUUAUAAAAAUGUAUCUAUAAACGUGUUAUUAAUAACUGUUAAACGUUAAAAAAUCAAACAUAAUCUUAACAGAUAUCAAGCAAAUAUUUGGUAAAUAUUUACAUAUUGUAAUUCACCGUGUAUACAUAGCAUAAUAAGUUCUGUACCUAUGUAUUAUUAUUGCUUAAAUAAAUCAACAUUAAUUAUA
Molecule: RNA transcript, 4168 nt
Organism: Cydia pomonella (codling moth)
Lineage: Eukaryota; Metazoa; Arthropoda; Insecta; Lepidoptera; Tortricidae
Gene name: neuronal synaptobrevin-like
Exons: 8
Source: RefSeq, a predicted model, not a curated record